RNA transcript from Drosophila albomicans, 2529 nucleotides. It is a transcript of the gene named ATP-binding cassette sub-family D member, with no coding region annotated. The record is from RefSeq and is a predicted model, not a curated record. Lineage: Eukaryota; Metazoa; Arthropoda; Insecta; Diptera; Drosophilidae. The transcript is spliced from 9 exons.
GUGUGUAGUACAUCAACGCAAAAUUGUUUGUAAUUAUAAGUUGCAUUGUAAUUAGUGCAGAAUUGCAUAUGCAGUACUUAUGUACAUACAUAAAUACAUGCAUAUGUUCCGAAAAAUACCGAUAAAUUGGACAUUAGUCUUCCCUGAUUUUAAAAUUUGGGUUGGAUAGUUUUACUUUCAUAUAUACUGACAAUGGCAGUAAUAUCAAAAUAUGUUGAUCGCAUAGCGGAGAAAUGUGAACAAUCUGGAUUGUCAAUACAAGCAUUUAGUUAUGCCCUAGUGGGCUCAGCAUUAUGUGCAUUAACCAUUAAGUUAACAGCCCCAUACAUGAAAAACACACAAAGUUCCAACAAAUAUAAAAUUAACAAAGGGCCACACACGCCGUUACCCAUUGAUGGCUCUGAUGAUGAUAUGAAGUUGGCUGAGGCUGAGAAGCUGUUGGUUCAACAGGAAUUAAAAAAAACAAAUUUGCAAAUGGUUGAGCCGGGCUUAAACAAGGAGUUCCUAAAGCAACUCAGUGCGCUUGUUCAGAUAAUGAUUCCGCAAAAGCUAUGCUACGAAACCGGACUGCUAACUAUUCAUACAUUGUGUCUCAUCUCACGCACGUUCCUCAGCAUUUAUGUGGCUGCAUUGGAGGGUGCGAUUGUUAAGUUCAUUGUUCGCAAGGAAAUUAAACAGUUUGCCCUUGUAUUGCUUAAAUGGUUUGGUAUCGCGAUUCCAGCAACAUUCGUCAAUUCCAUGAUACGAUUUCUGGAAAGCAAACUGGCUUUAGCAUUCCGGACUCGUUUGGUGCGGCAUUCAUAUCGAUUGUAUUUCAAAAACCAAAAUUACUACAGGGUGUCAAAUUUGGAUGGACGCAUCGAAAAUGCCGAUCAUAGACUUACCGAAGAUAUUUCUGUUUUUGCAAGCUCUGUAGCUCAUUUAUACAGUAGUUUAACUAAGCCAUGCUUCGAUCUAAUGUUAAUUGGUUUGGCAUUAAUGAGAUCUUCUAGACAAAUGAAAGCAAACAUUUUAUCAGGACCUGCUCUGUCGAUAACAGUUAUUGCACUUACGGCACAUAUAUUACGGAUUGUCUCUCCGAAAUUUGGACAACUCGUCUCGGAGGAGGCAAAUCGCUACGGUUACCUUAGACAUAUACAUUCCCGUAUUAUAACAAACGCAGAAGAAAUUGCCUUUUAUGGUGGACACAAGGUGGAGCUUCAGCAGUUGCGACAGGCAUACAAUCGCUUAGUUACCCAAAUGAAUAACAUAUUUACUCAGAAGCUGUGGUUCGUUAUGCUCGAACAAUUCUUUAUGAAAUAUCUGUGGUCUGGCACUGGCAUGGUGAUGGUCUCUCUGCCAAUACUAACUGGUUCUGCAACUCCUUCUUCUUCUUCCUCCACAUCAACGACAACAUCGCCAAGUGAAGCGAAUGCUUCACAUAUCAGCGAGCGAACACAAUAUCUAACAACGUCUAGAAAUUUACUUAUUUCGGCAGCGGACGCUAUAGAACGAUUAAUGUCAUCAUAUAAAGAAGUUGUUGCAUUGGCCGGAUACACCUUUCGGGUUGCAGGAAUGUUGGAUGUGUUUACAGAAACAUCACAAGGCAUUUAUAGCAAAGCAAUAGUUGCUGAGCAUAAUCGGGAUACAAGUGGAAUCAUUGAGUAUAGAAACGGCAAACCGAUAGCCAAGGGUCGUAUUAUCUAUACUGAUAACAAUGUGAUGUCGAUUAAUUUGUGUGCAGUACCGGUUGUGACACCCAAUUGUGAUAUCGUUGUUCCAAGCUUGACAUUGUGUUUUGAACCUGGUGUUCAUGUAUUGAUAACAGGACCAAAUGGAUGUGGAAAAUCAAGUUUGUUUCGUAUUUUAAGCGGAUUAUGGCCAAUCUAUGCUGGUGAAUUGCAUAUUCCGCGCCCAUUUGAAAACAAACCCUGCAUGUUUUACAUUCCCCAACGACCAUAUAUGUCCAUUGGCAGUUUAUGUGAUCAAAUCAUAUAUCCAGAUACUAGAGAUGAUAUGAAGCGCAAAGGAAUCACUGAGAAUGAAUUAAGAAGCAUAUUAAAAAUGGUCAGCCUAGAGCAUAUUGCGCAACGUGACAACUUUGAAGUUAUACGAGAUUGGAAGGAUAUUCUAUCGGGAGGUGAAAAACAAAGAAUGGCGGUAGCGCGACUUUUCUAUCACAAUAAAUUUUGCUUGGAGCAGACCCCAGUAUGCACUUCUUGAUGAAUGUACAAGUGCAGUAUCAAUUGACGUUGAGAGCUCUAUAUAUGAAAAAGCAAAAAACAUGGGUAUUACACUGCUGACGAUAACACAUAGACCCACCCUCUGGAAAUUUCACACUCAUAUUCUUGAGUUUGACGGUCAAGGAAGUUGGAAGUUUAGGAAAAUGGAAACAAAUGAAGAACAGAAAGAUCAAUUCAUUUGUUAAGCUUCAUGAUGUAUUAGAAAGAGCAUAUUGUAAAUAAAGUCAUACAUUUAAUGAUGUAUUCACGACGAUUUUAAAAUAAAUAUCUGCAAGCUUGCUUUGCAAAUUAUUGUUUUUUAUAAUAA